AAUAGAUACCCCGGUAGUCCACGCCGUAAACGAUGGACGCUCGGCGUCUGCGAGCUAUUGACGCUUGUGGGCGCCCAAGCAAACGCGAUAAGCGUCCCGCCUGGGAAGUACGAGCGCAAGCUUAAAACUCAAAGGGAAUUGACGGGGACCCGCACAAGCAGCGGAGCGUGUGGUUUAAUUCGACGCAACGCGCAUGACCUCACCCAGGUUUGACAUGCAGCUGCAAUCUUCUGAAAGGGAGACGCCUUCGAGGGUGCUGCACAGAUGCUGCAUGGCUGUCGUCAGCUCGUGUCGUGAGAUGUUGGGUUCAGUCCCGCAACGAGCGCAACCCCUGCGGCCAGUUACUUGUGUCUGGCCGGACUGCCCUUCGGGGAGGAAGGCGGGGAUGACGUCAAGUCCGCAUGGCUCUUACACCUUGGGGGCCACACGACACGCUACAAUGGGACGGACAAUACGUCGCGAACCGGCAACGGUGAGCAAAUCGCUAACCGUCUCAGUG
RNAcentral lists this ribosomal RNA (499 nucleotides) under uncultured bacterium. RNAcentral's name for it is "bacterial SSU rRNA". It matches the Rfam family "Bacterial small subunit ribosomal RNA", at positions 777 to 1291 of the family's 1533-position model. The record is from RNAcentral.